AGCAGCCGCGGUAAUUCCAGCUCCAAUAGCGUAUAUUAAAGUUGUUGCAGUUAAAAGCUCGUAGUUGAAUUUCGGGAUCAAUAUAUUGGUCGUGCCUUUGGUAUGCACUGGUAUUAUUGAUUUCUACCUUCUGACGAACCAUGAUGUCAUUAAUUUGGUGUCAUGGGGAAUCAGGACUGUUACUUUGAAAAAUUGAGUGUUUAAAGCAAGCACACGCUUGAAUACAUUAGCAUGGAAUAAUGAAAUAGGACGUUUGAUCUUAUUUUGUUGGUUUCUAGGAUCGACGUAAUGAUUAAUAGGGAUAGUGGGGGCAUUAGUAUUCAAUUGUCAGAGGUGAAAUUCUUGGAUUUAUUGAAGACUGACUACUGCGAAAGCAUUUGCCAAGGAUGUUUUCAUUAAUCAAGAACGAAAGUAGGGAUCGAAGACGAUCAGAUACCGUCGUAGUCUUAACCAUAAACUAUGCCGACUAGGGAUCGGAUGAUGUUUAAUUUUUAAUGUA
RNAcentral lists this unclassified non-coding RNA (499 nucleotides) under uncultured Glomus. RNAcentral's name for it is "SSU rRNA". It matches the Rfam family "Eukaryotic small subunit ribosomal RNA", at positions 569 to 1078 of the family's 1831-position model. Lineage: Eukaryota; Fungi; Glomeromycota; Glomeromycetes; Glomerales; Glomeraceae. The record is from RNAcentral.